RNAcentral lists this ribosomal RNA (620 nucleotides) under uncultured bacterium. RNAcentral describes it as "bacterial SSU rRNA". The stretch from base 1 to 540 matches the Rfam family "Bacterial small subunit ribosomal RNA", at positions 338 to 873 of the family's 1533-position model. The record is from RNAcentral.
CCUACGGGAGGCAGCAGUGGGGAAUUUUGGACAAUGGACGCAAGUCUGAUCCAGCCAUUCCGCGUGCAGGACGAAGGCCUUCGGGUUGUAAACUGCUUUUGUACGGAACGAAAAAGCUCUUAUUAAUACUAGGAGUCCAUGACGGUACCGUAAGAAUAAGCACCGGCUAACUACGUGCCAGCAGCCGCGGUAAUACGUAGGGUGCAAGCGUUAAUCGGAAUUACUGGGCGUAAAGCGUGCGCAGGCGGUUAUAUAAGACAGAUGUGAAAUCCCCGAGCUUAACUUGGGAACUGCAUUUGUGACUGUAUAGCUAGAGUACGGCAGAGGGGGAUGGAAUUCCGCGUGUAGCAGUGAAAUGCGUAGAUAUGCGGAGGAACACCGAUGGCGAAGGCAAUCCCCUGGGCCUGUACUGACGCUCAUGCACGAAAGCGUGGGGAGCAAACAGGAUUAGAUACCCUGGUAGUCCACGCCCUAAACGAUGUCAACUGGUUGUUGGGUCUUCACUGACUCAGUAACGAAGCUAACGCGUGAGUAGACGCCGNGGAGGACGGCCGCGAGUAGUAACGUACGAAGAAGUAGACGGCGUGAGACGUAGCGACGGACGACGACGAGGGAGGAGG